This 292-nucleotide long non-coding RNA is filed under the name Triticum aestivum (bread wheat). RNAcentral's name for it is "long non-coding RNA (TAES_LNC000837)". The record is from RNAcentral. Lineage: Eukaryota; Viridiplantae; Streptophyta; Magnoliopsida; Poales; Poaceae.
CUCAUCUAAGCAAGCAACCAUGGUUCUCAAUAUUCAUAUUGAUUUUGAAUUUGGGUAGCAGGGGCAUUUACUUUGUAGAGGAGGAAAAUUCAGAAGGUAUUGAAUCCUCUUUUACAUGUUUGGUCACAAUAAAACUCCAUUCUGAAUUGACUUAUGAUUACAAAUGCCCUGCAGGAUGCAGCGGAAGAUGUCCUGCAAGAAUACCAAAAAGGCUGCAGGCGAGAGACAAAGAUGGGAACAUAGGAUGUCCAGAUGCUGUUGUAGAGGCUUCUCACUAUGUCCAUUUGUGUUG